UACGGAGGAUGCAAGCGUUAUCCGGAUUCAUUGGGUUUAAAGGGUGCGUAGGCGGACUAUUAAGUCAGUGGUGAAAGCCUGCAGCUUAACUGCAGAACUGCCAUUGAUACUGAUAGUCUUGAGUUUGGUUAAGGUAGGCGGAAUGUGUAAUGUAGCGGUGAAAUGCAUAGAUAUUGCACGGAACACCAAUUGCGAAGGCAGCUUACUGGACCAUUACUGACGCUCAGGCACGAAAGCGUGGGGAUCAAACA
This 251-nucleotide ribosomal RNA is filed under the name uncultured prokaryote. Its description in RNAcentral is "partial 16S ribosomal RNA". It matches the Rfam family "Bacterial small subunit ribosomal RNA", at positions 524 to 774 of the family's 1533-position model. The record is from RNAcentral.